This 715-nucleotide ribosomal RNA is filed under the name uncultured bacterium. RNAcentral's name for it is "bacterial SSU rRNA". It matches the Rfam family "Bacterial small subunit ribosomal RNA", at positions 8 to 738 of the family's 1533-position model. The record is from RNAcentral.
AGAGUUUGAUCCUGGCUCAGAAUGAACGUUGGCGGCGUGGAUUAGGCAUGCGAGUCGAGCGCGAAUCGUAGCAAUACGAGGAAAGCGGCGGAAGGGAGAGGAUAACGUGGGAAUCUACCCCCUUGUCUGGGAUAGCUGCGGGAAACUGCUGGUAAUACCAGAUAAAGUCUUUGGACCAAAGGUGUGAUUCCGCUAGGGGAUGAGCCCACGUCCUAUUAGCUUGUUGGCGGGGUAAUGGCCCACCAAGGCAAUGAUGGGUAGCGGGUGUGAGAGCACGACCCGCCUCACUGGGACUGAGAACUGCCCAGACACCUACGGGUGGCUGCAGUCGAGAAUCUUCGGCAAUGGGCGAAAGCCUGACCGAGCGACGCCGCGUGCGGGAUGAAGGCCUUCGGGUUGUAAACCGCUGUCGUAGGGGAGCAAGAAAUGAGGGUACUCCCUCAAAUUUGAGCGAUCCUAGGAGGAAGGAGAGGCUAAGCUCGUGCCAGCAGCCGCGGUAAGACGAGCUCUCCAAACGUUAUUCGGUAUCACUGGGCUUAAAGAGUUCGUAGGCGGCUUUGUAGGUGAGGUGUGAAAGCCCUCGGCUCAACCGAGGAACUGCGCUUCAAACCGCAAAGCUAGAGGGAGACAGGGGUGAGCGGAACAGAUGGUGGAGCGGUGAAAUGCGUUGAUAUCAUCUGGAACACCGGUGGCGAAAGCGGCUCACUGGGUCUUU